GGGUCACAUUUUCUCAGGUUAUCUUCCAUGUUUAAUAUUUGCAGAAUUAAAAUUUAAACCGGCAUGGUUCCAGGCAACGUGGAAACCCAUUCUGGCAGAUGGCUGCUCCUUGACACAGGGAGCUCGCUUCCUUACUUCCUCCUCCCACCUCCUGACCUUGCUCUAGUACUCACCAGACCCACCAACAGUCCCAACCACCCUCGCCGUUCUGGCAGGGCACCCAGCCUGCAGGAGAAGGUGGAGGUUCUGCCCAGCCCCUGGCAAAGCCUCUCGCGUGUUACCGAGUCCCUGGCUUUAUCUUCCUGGCAAGAAGCGUCUCGGUUGGCCACGUGAUUCCGUAGAUGCUUAAAGUAGUUUCUUCCGCCAUUUAAAAAUACCCCAGGGAAAAGCAGAUUAACUGUAUGAUACGGGACUCUCCUGUAGUAAGGGUGAAAUCAACAGAAACCCUGAUGGAUCUUUUAUUUCUAACUUUCCUAUAAUCCCCUUAUUUCUGCUUUGUUGACGUAACUUCCAAAGUGUCUUCCAGUGCCUUGAAUGAAAGUUCAUGGUGUUGAGGACGCAGGAAUGAUGAUUAUACUGAACUGUGAGGGUUUGUUUUUUUUUUUUUUAAACAAGAAAUUAGGUAUCGUGUUUGCAAGAGCAGUCAAAACUAAAGCACUCUCUUGGCAGGUUUCACGCUGUUCUGCCUUCUAAUCUUUUACAGUUUUUCUCAAAAUGAGAUAUGUUAUUUCAAGCUUAGUUAGGAGGUAAAAAAAACCAUAAGAUUAUAGGAUCACACACUGUUAGAGCUGUUAAAAAGAGCGGGGCUGUAAAAGAAUUCAGACUCCCCCCACCUCCUGCAAUUGAUACAAAGAACUGUCAGGUUUCUGGCAGAUUUAUUAUUUUUGUAUUAGCAUAUAUCUGGAAGUUGGAAAGAACUUGAAACAUCGCUAUGCAAGGAUGUAAGGUAAGAAGAGGUCCAUUUCCCUACUUGUUUUAGUUUUUACUUUCUCUCCAUAAAGUCUACCAGAUACAUCUGUGCUAACAGGUUUUUAUUUUCUCUCUAAUGUGUAAGGUUAGCAACAACCAGUAAAUCUCCACUUGUUCCUGGCUCCUCCAGCAGAUUGCUGCGUUUGAGAAACCUCCUCUUGCUUCAUCAGCUUGAGCAGAUCAGGCAGGAGAAGCAAUGAUGUCGGGACAGUAACAACAAGCUAUUAUUUCAACAGAGGUUAAAACAAGCAGUAAUUAUCAGUGAAAGAAAAGCAUAACAAGGGCAAAUAAAAGUGUGUAUCUUACUGAAACAUAAUGUAUCUGACCUUCAAAGGGAACAGCAAAGACCUCUGAAGGACAGCAGUAGAAGAGGAAGGUGAUUACAUCACUGUUUGUGGUAUUUUGCACAAGUUCCACUUCAAUCUCAUGGUUUUUACAGGUGCAAUAUUAGGAUAAUCUAGGCAGAAAUCUUUUAAAUGGAUGCAUAUUCUUAUUUUACAUGUGGGGAGCCAUAGAGUAGUGGCUACCAAAAUUACUUAGGAUGGCUUUGAUGGGGAGCUGGAAAGAGAAUGAAUUUUAAGAUUGUCAACUCCUGUAUCUUGGUCAAAUUUAUCCACUCUUGAUAACCUCUCCAGAUAGGUUUGUCAACCAGGUGGAAUUUCACAUUAAAAAAAAAAAAAAAAUUCUUACAAAAUGCUCUUCUUUUCCACACUGAAAAUAUGCUUGGAUAUCUGCGUCAGUCAAAUGGGUUUCCUGGGCAGCAUUUACUGGAAUUCUUUUAGAGCAGUAAGUCUAAGAAAUGCUUCUGUUUUAAGAAAAGAGCACGUUUGGUUUGGUUGCUUGAAACAAAUCUGACAGAUGAGCUGGAAGACAGAUUUAUAAGCUGAAACAAAAGAUGAAUGUGUUAACAAAAGUAUGUUGAACUGUUUAUUUCACCAUGCCCUUACGUUUUGCUGAUACUGUGCAGUAAAAUGUUGGUUAUUUUUUACUUCUCUGUACUUGGUAUUUUAUUAUUUGCUACAAUGUGCAGGAGAAAGAUUACCUCUGGAGAUGUAAGGGACAUAAUAAAGCAGUGGAACCAAUGGGGAUGUUGCCAGAGACUGACUCGCUAUAAUUCCAGGGCUUAGGAAAAAGACAUUUUAUAAUUAGCUCACACUAUUUAUCAAGCUAUUGCCCUAAAAUUUUGAGAAAACCUGUCACUCUACCAUAUUAUCUUCAACCAAAUAGGAUGAUUUUUUUAAAAGGUCUUUGGGAGAGUUUAAAAUUACUCACCAUUAUUAGUUACUGCUAAGUAGCUGGUAUUUAUUCAGCUUUGUUUGUUUUGGAAAUCAGCAAGUUCCCCAAAUUCCACAAGCAUUUAUUAGUCUCAUCCAUCGCUUUGGAGGAAUAUAUACAUUCAAUUUUUCAUGUCACAGUGUUGCUGAAUAUGUGCUUGUUUUAAUGCAGUUGAGUGGUGGCUUUUGUGAUUGGUCACAGCCCAAUGACAAAUACUGCAUUAGCAUUUAAAGAAAACUGCAAAGAUAAGGCAAUCUUAAUUGUGCAAGCAGACAGCUUCUCACCCUUCUUAAGAAUAGGACUUUCCAGGCUUCCUCUUUGUUUUGAUUUAUCUCAGCACUAUUUAUGUUGCUAUUCCUGCUCCUUCCCGUUUUCAGAGCAAUCCUACUCUGUGUUUCAGAGCAGGGCUGUGCAGCUGGUUGGUUCUGCUUUAGGUCUGCAAUUACCUGCUAUUUAUAUUAGUUAGUGCCCUUAUGCUGUUGUUUAUCCUAUACCAAUAGUUUUCAAUGGUGAAAAAAUGUCUCUGUUUGUUUUAUGACUUGGCUUUAAUUCACCCGUCCAGCUCACUCAUUAUGAAAAAAACACAGGAACUUUGGGAAGAUUACUUUCUCCAGGUUUCAUUGCGUGCCAAAAAAGAAAAUGGGUACUAGAGCUCCAUUAGAGCUGUGAAAGUCUGCAGGUUGUUUACCAGCAGUGUGUUCGCUUAAGUCUCCCUCCCAGCCUUGCUGGUGAGGGACACGGUUCUGUGUUACUGGCGAUGUCUCUCUCUUUCCCUGCUCUUUAGAGUAACCCAACAUUUCCAUUCCAGCCCUGUCAGUGUCUUCAGCUAUUUCUAAACUACUCCUCCUCUAAUCCCUCAUCUGGGCAUGCUUUGACCUAAUUUGCCGUGAUCCUGCCAGCUAUGCCAGUUACGUAAAGAGGGGUUAUGGCCCCGUCACGGCGGUAGCUCCAGUUCUGCAUCUUUCUCCUGCCGAGCCCCCCGCUCCCUCCCGCCAUAGCCGCGCCCUGAUCUCCGCCUGCCCCCGGCCGCACCACUGCCCUUCCCUCAGACCCAUCCUGACACCCUGAAGGCAAUAAAAACCUCCAAACAACCCGGGCUUUUUUUUUUUUUCUUUCUUUCUUUUUUUUCCCACCCCCCCCCAUCCUCCACGCACGCUGGCUGCAGGACCCUCCCUCCCCCGGCCCGGCACUGGGCGCCCACCGCGGGUCCCCCACGCGUGAAGGGGCGCGUUACCGGGGGGGCUCCCCGCCGCCCUCCCGGCCCCAGCCCGUCCCUCACGGCGAGGCGGGAGCUCGGCGGCUGAGGGGGCGGCGGCGGGCGGGAGAGCCCUCAGCCCCGGCCGCCAUGGCGCUGCGGCCUGCAGGCGGGCUCCCCCCGCCGCCGAGGGGCAUUCCGCGGGGCGGGAUCCCCGCGUGGGGCUGGGGGGAGCCGGUGGGAUCGACUUCCCACAGCUCUUCUCCUCCGCCGUCCCCGGGGGAUCCGCGUCCUCCCAGAGGUCGAAGCAGCCCCUACAGCAGUAGGUGACUAUGGGAUGGAGCUCCCUGUAACGCAGAGAAGUGGAUUUAACAGCCAGCGCUUUGGAGGCCUAUGCUUCUAUGACUCACUACAGUGCAGGGAACGUGGGCAGGUAAACAAGUACUUCAGUAGGA
Molecule: long non-coding RNA, 3894 nt
Organism: Tyto alba (common barn owl)
Lineage: Eukaryota; Metazoa; Chordata; Aves; Strigiformes; Tytonidae
Exons: 3
Source: RefSeq, a predicted model, not a curated record